GGUAAGUCGGGGGCAGCGGCUGGGUGAGUUGGGAGGAUCCGAGAGUUAUCCGGGUUUAUUGGGUGUAAAGGGGUGGGAGGCGGGUUUAGAAGUCAGGGGUGAAAGACGGCAGCUCAACUGUCGCAGGGCCUUUGAUACUGUAGAGCUUGAAUGUGGUUGAAGAUGGCGGAAUGAGACAAGUAGCGGUGAAAUGCAUAGAUAUGUCGCAGAACUCCGAUUGCGAAGGCAGCUGUCUAAGUCAUUAUUGACGCUGAUGCACGAAAGCGUGGGGAUCGAACAGGAUUAGAUACCCUAGUAGUC
Molecule: ribosomal RNA, 300 nt
Filed under: uncultured Halorientalis sp.
Lineage: Archaea; Methanobacteriati; Methanobacteriota; Halobacteria; Halobacteriales; Haloarculaceae
Description: partial 16S ribosomal RNA
Rfam family: Bacterial small subunit ribosomal RNA
Source: RNAcentral